GUGCUUGCUCUGACAGCACAUGUACUAAAAUUGGAAAGAUACAGAAAAGAUUAGCAUGGCACUUGCACAAGGCUGACAUGCAAAUUCGUGAAGCGUUCCAUAAAAAA
This 107-nucleotide small nuclear RNA is filed under the name Dasypus novemcinctus (nine-banded armadillo). The record is from RNAcentral. Lineage: Eukaryota; Metazoa; Chordata; Mammalia; Cingulata; Dasypodidae.